Bos taurus (domestic cattle) is the source of this 946-nucleotide long non-coding RNA. The record is from Ensembl. NCBI's taxonomy places the organism in Eukaryota, Metazoa, Chordata, Mammalia, Artiodactyla, Bovidae.
CUCUUCUCUUUCUGCCCUCAAUCUUUUCCAGGGCAUCAGGGACUUUUUCAAUGAGUCAUCUGUUCACGUCAGAUGACCAAAAUACUGGAGCUUAAGCUUCAGUAUCAGUCCUUCCAGUGAAUAUUCAGGGUUGAUCUCCUGUAAGAUUGACUUGUUUGAUCGCCAUUCUCCAAGGGGCUUUCAGGAGUCCUCUCAAGUACCACAGUUUGCAGGCAGUAGGUUCCUUGAGGGCAGAGACCAGGCCUCUUCACCUUGGCAUCAUUACUGCCCUGUAUCAUCCCUGACUCAUUGGAAGAGAGCUGACUUAUUGGGAAAAAAAAAAAAAAAAAACAAAAAAAAACAAAAAACCUGAUGCUGAGAAAGAUAGAAGGUGUGGGAGAAAGGGAUGACAGAGGACCAGAUGUUUGGAUGGCAUCACCGACUCAAUGGACAUAAGUUUAAGCAAGCUCUGGGAGAUGGUAAAGGACAGGGAGGCCUGGCAUGCUGCAGUCCGUGGGGUCACAAAGAGCUGGACAUGACUGAGCGGCUGAACAACCGCAAAUCAUCCCUGACAGAUAGCAGACAGAUUCUCCAAACUUCCAACACAAACAGAACAGUGUUUUCCUGCCUCUGGAGUCCUUGAGCAAUGUUUGGCUGAGAGACCCACGAGAGGAGUGUUACAAGUGUGAUCUCGGCAGGCUGGGUGCCUAGGACUGCCUCCUUCCUGCACCCGCUCUCCAGCCUGGGCCCACGGCCAAGAGCACCAGAGUUCACCAGAAAGACAAACACUGAGACGCUCCCCAAACACUUGGACUUUAAUUUGCUUCAUGAAAUGCCAGGUUAUUUUCUUUUUCUGGCAGAAUUGGUUGCGCCUCCUCCAAUCUCACAGUCCUGCUCCUGGUAGCAGUUUUCUCGGAAUCUCACCAGUUCAAUUUCAUCUAUCUAUCUAUCUAUCUAUGCAUGCUGU